RNAcentral lists this ribosomal RNA (503 nucleotides) under uncultured bacterium. RNAcentral describes it as "partial 16S ribosomal RNA". It matches the Rfam family "Bacterial small subunit ribosomal RNA", at positions 30 to 523 of the family's 1533-position model. The record is from RNAcentral.
AUUGAACGCUGGCGGCAGGCUUAACACAUGCAAGUCGAGCGGGGUGAUGGUGCUUGCACUAUCACUUAGCGGCGGACGGGUGAGUAAUGCUUAGGAAUCUGCCUAUUAGUGGGGGACAACAUCUCGAAAGGGAUGCUAAUACCGCAUACGUCCUACGGGAGGAAGCAGGGGAUCACUUGUGACCUUGCGCUAAUAGAUGAGCAUAAGUCGGAUUAGCUAGUUGGUGGGGUAAAGGCCUACCAAGGCGACGAUCUGUAGCGGGUCUGAGAGGAUGAUCCGCCACACUGGGACUGAGACACGGCCCAGACUCCUACGGGAGGCAGCAGUCGGGAAUAUUGGACAAUGGGGGGAACCCUGAUCCAGCCAUGCCGCGUGUGUGAAGAAGGCCUUAUGGUUGUAAAGCACUUUAAGCGAGGAGGAGGCUCUUUUGGUUAAUACCCAAGAUGAGUGGACGUUACUCGCAGAAUAAGCACCGGCUAACUCUGUGCCAGCAGCCGCAGUAA